GACGAACGCUGGCGGCGUGCCUAAUACAUGCAAGUCGAACGAGAGCAACCGGUGCUUGCCCUGGUCAAUCUAGUGGCGAACGGGUGAGUAACACGUGGGUAACCUGCCCAUCAGAGGGGGAUAACAUCCGGAAACGGAUGCUAAAACCGCAUAGGUCUUCGAACCGCAUGGUUUGAAGAGGAAAAGAGGCGCAAGCUUCUGCUGAUGGAUGGACCCGCGGUGCAUUAGCUAGUUGGUGAGGUAACGGCUCACCAAGGCCGUGAUGCAUAGCCGACCUGAGAGGGUGAUCGGCCACAUUGGGACUGAGACACGGCCCAAACUCCUACGGGAGGCAGCAGUAGGGAAUCUUCCGCAACGGACGCAAGUCUGACGGAGCAACGCCGCGUGAGUGAAGAAGGUUUUCGGAUCGUAAAACUCUGUUGUUAGAGAAGAACAAGUGCUAGAGUAACUGUUAGCGCCUUGACGGUAUCUAACCAGAAAGCCACGGCUAACUACGUG
This 498-nucleotide ribosomal RNA is filed under the name uncultured bacterium. Its description in RNAcentral is "partial 16S ribosomal RNA". It matches the Rfam family "Bacterial small subunit ribosomal RNA", at positions 28 to 507 of the family's 1533-position model. The record is from RNAcentral.